RNAcentral lists this ribosomal RNA (448 nucleotides) under uncultured Acidovorax sp. RNAcentral describes it as "bacterial SSU rRNA". It matches the Rfam family "Bacterial small subunit ribosomal RNA", at positions 933 to 1382 of the family's 1533-position model. The record is from RNAcentral. Lineage: Bacteria; Pseudomonadati; Pseudomonadota; Betaproteobacteria; Burkholderiales; Comamonadaceae.
UGGAUGAUAUGGUUUAAUUCGAUGCAACGCGAAAACCUUACCCACCUUUGACAUGUACGGAAUCCUUUAGAGAUAGAGGAGUGCUCGAAAGAGAGCCGUAACACAGGUGCUGCAUGGCUGUCGUCAGCUCGUGUCGUGAGAUGUUGGGUUAAGUCCCGCAACGAGCGCAACCCUUGUCAUUAGUUGCUACAUUCAGUUGGGCACUCUAAUGAGACUGCCGGUGACAAACCGGAGGAAGGUGGGGAUGACGUCAAGCCCUCAUGGCCCUUAUAGGUGGGGCUACACACGUCAUACAAUGGAUGGUACAAAGGGUCGCCAACCCGCGAGGGGGAGCCAAUCCCAUAAAGCCAUUCGUAGUCCGGAUCGCAGUCUGCAACUCGACUGCGUGAAGUCGGAAUCGCUAGUAAUCGUGGAUCAGAAUGUCACGGUGAAUACGUUCCCGGGUCUU